UGCCCGAGUCCGACGCACCGGUUUCCGUCUGUCGCACUCGACGUCAACCGGAGAACGCGCCAUCGCCAAUGGCCGCCGACGGUAACUACCCAGCCCUCGUUCGAUCCGUCCGAAACCCUAAUUUGAUCUUUUUCCCGCUUCAAAUAUCUGUUUUCGUAUUCCUUCGUCUCUCUAAAUCUCCCCCUCGAAUUCGACACCGGAGACAGAAACCGGCUGAUGAUGAAAGAGAAGACCUCCUCAUCCAAGGCGAGUUCAAUCGGUUGAUAUUAUGGGACCCUAAUCGUUGUUCUCUUUCUUCCUGGUUCUUGAUUUUGCUUGUCAAUCGGGCUCUUCAUAUGUUGGAAGAGGAAGACUUCCAUGACUACGGCAAUGAUUUCCACGAGGAUUCCCAAUGAGUUCUUGUUUGGGUAAGGCGAGAGGGAGAUUAAGAAGAUGGAUUUUACCCAGCUGGAGCUGAAGUCGGAUCACGUGAACAGGCCGCUUUGGGCCUGUGCCGAUGACCGUAUCUUUUUGCAAACCUUCUUCCCUCUCUACAAGCAAGCCUACGGUUACCUCGUUGCCGUCACAGAGCCUGUCUGCAGGCAUUGUGGCAUGAAUAUAAUUUGACGCCGCACACACUGUGUGCUGCGGUUUCAGUUGGUCUGAAAAUUGAGACCAUCAUCAGUGUUCCGAGCAAGCUGUUAGAAAUCGAAGUUACCACCUGGGGUAAUUGACUCUUCGUCGAUCAGUCGACCGCCAACUAUCGCAAAGUUGAGCUCGUUCUGAAAAAGACUUGGAAUUUCGUUGAGCCACCAUUUCCAGAGGUAUUGAAGCAAUUGCUAAAGGUGAUGUCAUAUCAAAGGCACGGAUUAACUCUGAUGACGAUUCUCACGAUGCUGAUACAUUCACAAUUAGCAAAUCUGUGUAUGAAAUACGAGGUGGUCAUGAGGACUUACUGAAUGGGGCUAUGUUAGCUGCUGCAGCUGAAGAGAAAGAAACUCAUUUGAAAUAGAACCUUCCCAGCUGCAAUAGAAAAUCUCAUGCCACAAUAUCUGAAUUCGCAGGUAGAAAAUGUCAAGCAACAUUGCUUGCUUAAUGGACUAAACUAUCCUAUCCUCCAGCGGUAUGAUUUUUGCAAUGAUACAGCUAGUCAUUUAUGUGUUUAAAACUUGAUUGAGCUUUUUAAGUAUUAAAAUUGACUUCCAGUGAGUCAUUUUUCUGUCCAAAAAUUGAUUGAGCAAUUUUAAACUAUUCUAUGCUCGA
This is a long non-coding RNA of Musa acuminata AAA Group (dessert banana), 1242 nucleotides long. RefSeq lists it as uncharacterized. Lineage: Eukaryota; Viridiplantae; Streptophyta; Magnoliopsida; Zingiberales; Musaceae. The transcript has 5 exons. The record is from RefSeq and is a predicted model, not a curated record.